CCUACGGGUGGCAGCAGUGAGGAAUAUUGGUCAAUGGACGAGAGUCUGAACCAGCCAAGUAGCGUGAAGGAUGACUGCCCUAUGGGUUGUAAACUUCUUUUAUAUGGGAAUAAAAUGUUCCACGUGUGGGAUUUUGUAUGUACCAUAUGAAUAAGGAUCGGCUAACUCCGUGCCAGCAGCCGCGGUAAUACGGAGGAUCCGAGCGUUAUCCGGAUUUAUUGGGUUUAAAGGGAGCGUAGGUGGAUUGUUAAGUCAGUUGUGAAAGUUUGCGGCUCAACCGUAAAAGUGCAGUUGAAACUGGCAGUCUUGAGUACAGUAGAGGUGGGCGGAAUGCGUGGUGUAGCGGUGAAAUGCUUAGAUAUCACGAAGAACUCCGAUUGCGAAGGCAGUUCACUGGACUGCAACUGACACUGAGGCUCGAAAGUGUGGGUAUCAAACAGGAUUAGAUACCCGUGUAGUC
RNAcentral lists this ribosomal RNA (460 nucleotides) under uncultured bacterium. RNAcentral describes it as "partial 16S ribosomal RNA". It matches the Rfam family "Bacterial small subunit ribosomal RNA", at positions 338 to 795 of the family's 1533-position model. The record is from RNAcentral.